Molecule: ribosomal RNA, 253 nt
Filed under: uncultured bacterium
Lineage: Bacteria
Description: partial 16S ribosomal RNA
Rfam family: Bacterial small subunit ribosomal RNA
Source: RNAcentral
UACGAAGGGGGCUAGCGUUGCUCGGAAUUACUGGGCGUAAAGCGCACGCAGGUGGCUGAGUCAGUCGAUUGUGAAAGCCCUGGGCUUAACCUGGGAAUUGCAGUCGAUACUACUCAGCUAGAGUAUGGGAGAGGGUAGUGGAAUUCCCGGUGUAGCGGUGAAAUGCGUAGAUAUCGGGAGGAACAUCAGUGGCGAAGGCGGCUACCUGGCCCAAUACUGACACUCAGGUGCGACAGCGUGGGGAGCAAAUAGG